CCUGUUCUCUCAUAUUUCCUUAACUAAAGAUGGCCUCUUUAGCAAGUUAGAGCUUUUUCAGUCUUAAGCAAUGCCUUUUUGCCCGCUUAGUUGAUGACUGAAAGGAAGAGAGAAUUUGAUCACUGAAUUUUCUGACCUGUCAUUGUGGAUCCGACCAAGUAGUGUUGCAACAAGGCUGAAAAUUGGAUUAGCUGCAUUUAGAAGAGAAACUUAAACCACUCCAGCAAAAAAGAAAGCACAUCCUUGGAUCUGAGAAGGCACGCGUGUGGUGAGAUGGAAGCAAGGACACGCAAAAAGGAAAUUUAGCACCUCUUGGAUCAGACCUUGAAUGCCACAGUGCUAGGUGUUUAACUGAUGUCCAGGAAGGAGAGAAACUAAUAUUAUGAUGAAAUACAAUGAAUCUGCCUCAGAUUCUCUAAUUCAUCUAUCUGCCAAAGCAGUCUUUUGGAAAGAUGACCACCACAUCAUGUUUCUUCAUCAGUCUGCAGUUGACAUGUUUCAGGAGUAUUAGAAAUAAGCAAUAAUCAGAGGACAAGGAUUAUAUAAACUGAUAAUAUUUACAGCCUCUUUUGCCACUGUCAAAACUGGAAAUUUUCCACUUUUAGUCACUGAACUUUUGGAUUCUUAAAUUUUGAGACAUUCUUUCACACUUAGCCUCUGCAUAAGAAUCUUUAGAAGUUUGUACAGCAGGAAGCAACGUGACUGCAACCCAGGAAGAUUUAGAGUAGAUUUGCAAAUCUUUUUUCCAUUAACAUAGGUAAGUAAGCAGGAGAGACUAGCCUGAGUGACUGCUCCUGCAUUCAUAAAACUGUAGUUUUCAAAUUCUUCUGGAGUAUUCUGAGCAAUUUUACUUACAGACUGCUAUCGAAGUUUAAACCUCAUGCUGAUUUAAGGGGUCUUUGGUCAGGGCACCUGUGUAGAGCCACUCUCUUGAUCCUCGACUCUGCUCAUUUGCCUGGUCCAACAGCAUCAGGACAGCAUCUCAUUCCGCAUUCCUCCCAAAAAUGGAAGUGUGUGAGGGGGUAUCUACUGAAUUGAAAAUUAUUUCAAGUGGAUAAAACGAGAGUAGUAUUGGGCUAGUCUGGACAAUGUCAAGUACACACAAGCCAACCUUGCAGGAAUAUGUGGAUAGAAAGGGAAGAACAGCACAUCUUGAAUUCAGCUAGAAACUUCACCAGCUACAUCAUCACAGACAAAAUAAAAAUAGAUUUAUACUCUUCUGAACUUCAUCUUGCCUUUCAAAUGUUUACAUUUGGAUUUGAGGGGGGAAAAACCGUGUCUUGCUUGCUAUGGAGUAUCAACUUGCCUUCAAAAGAUUUACCAGUAAAAGCCUUGCAUAUGUGAUAUUUGUAUGUGUAUGUGAUAAACAGAUCUUAGUGUGGGCCUCCCCUCCGACACCCCUGCUGGAGCUAGCAUUUUAAAGCAGCUUGGAAUCUGAUCCUAUUAACUACUGGACAUAUAUAGCAUAAGAAUUUAUUGAAAUACUUCGGAAAAUUGUGUUUGGGUAAUAUGAUUGAAAUGGAAAUAUACUAAGUGAAUGAUGAAUAUAUAUGAACUGUAUAUUGCAUAUUAGGAAAUGAAGAGAAUGAAAAUUUCAACAUGGGAUAGUUUUAUUGUAUUCUCUUUUAGCUUAGUUUUUCUUGGACUCUAAUACUGAAGCAUAGAGACUUACAUUUAUAAACAUGAAUCUACUAUUUUUAGAUACUUUUUAAAUCGUUGCUGUGAUAAUAGAGCUGGUUUCCUAGGGAAGUUUCUAAAAAUAUGUUUGGUAAAAUCGUAUCUCACAAAGAUUUUUGGAAGGAAUUCUGUGGACAUUUUGUAAAGCUAUACAUAAUUCUCUAUUCAUUGUUUGAGCGCUUAUGGAUAGGAGAAAAGAAAUGGGCAUGGUGAGUGUCUAAUACGUUAAUCAGGAAAAAAAGUUAAGGCACUAGUUAUUCAUGUGCAUUUUGAGAAUGCUUUGUAUGAAAUAACAAUAUAAUUGCUUUGUGACAUUUCUUAGUGUAUUGUGAUUGCUAACAGAGUUUGCUAAAAUACAUAGAAAUAUUUUAAUAGAUGAUUAUAGAAAUAGAAUAAUUAGAAUACCUCUGAAUGAUGUGUAUUUAUAAUCAUUUGAUCGGAUUAUUGCUGUGGGUUUUUUGCGGGGAGUAGGAUUGUUCUGCAUACAACUGUCUGUAAGAAAUUUUAUUAAGGCUGCUUUAUGUGGAUGUAGAUGUUAUUCUGUAAAUGGUCUUUAUAUGUUAGAAUUUGUAUGGCAUUAGAUUUUAUUCUCAAAAUGAGAUUGUUGCACAAGAGGCCAGCCUCAAUGAACACUUUGCCUGUUCAGGGUUGAGUGGGCUUUUUAUUGCUCUGUAUACACAUGAAAAAAGUACUGUUAUAUCAUCUUAUCAAGCAUAGAAGUGGCUGACAUUUUGGUCAUUUCAAUUGUUAAAAUAUAAUUUUGUUGCUUGCUGAGAGGUGUUUCUAGACUGCUUUGUAAAAGAGCUGAAUUCAGGAGAUAGAGAAUAAGACGUUUUGGAGGGCUGUGUAUGUAUAUAUGCAUGCAUAUAUACAAGGAGAGUUCUUGAACAGCCUCCAGGCGUUACUCCAUGCUCAGAUGUUGGUAAUCUACAUAUGUUUUGUAAAAUAUUCUAAUGUUAAAGAGAGGUAGACUUUUCCCCUUCCACCACUGCAAUUGUUUAAAUUGCCUCUGAACAUUAAUUCAUUUCUGGUAGAUAUUGUUAUACAUUUUGUUAUAAACUGUUAUUAAUGUUAGAUAUUUUUGUUUAACAUCUAGUUUUCUACAUGUAUAGACAUCAUUGUAAAUUCAUUUGAACUUAUAAAGGUAGAACCAUUUUUGUUUGCCAAAAGAGAUGGUUAGAUCUAGCCUCUGUGUUCAUUGAAUCAGUAGGUUCUAUUUUUAGGUUGUGGUAAAUACAAUGUGUAGUAUCUCAUCUAACAUGUCAUUGUUUUAUGACAAGAUUCAUCAUGGUGGAAAUGUCCUUGUAACUGGUGGUCUGCCUUUGCUUAUUGGUUUUAGAAACGUUUGCACACAAAUAACACAGUCCUUUGUAUAACAUAGAGAAACCUCUACUUGUGGUAAAAUAGCAUAGGUUACAAAAGUUUUCAGUUGCCGGUGAAAUUUAACUUUUAAUAAUAGUGAAUUGUUAUUUUAAAGUACUUAGUUGAUUAAGCAAUUUAUAAGUUUUUAUGGGAAAUGUUAGCAAUGGCGUAUCAAAUCUGAGUUCAUUAAAUCAUGAGCCGAUCAAAAGAAUGUUUAUGUAUUAUGUGUAUAUAAUGGACAUAGUUAUUUUUUAAAGGAUAAGAAUACUAUAUCUGCAUGUUUCGUAAGUAUAUUAAUUGUAGAAUGAAAACUUACCCAAAUGGUUGUCACAUUGUCACUAUGAGUAAAUAAUUGGGCAGCUGAAGGGGUUUUUGUUAGAUAGUUGUGUGUAAAAAGUUAGAAUAUGUAAUAGUUUUGCUUUAAACUUUCAGUUCUUGAUUUAUAGGGAUUGCUUACAUAUACAUAUGGGGGUGUGUGUAUGUGUGUAUAUAUAUAUAUAUACACAUGCAUGCACAUAUGUACAUAUAUGUGUAUGAAACAAGUGUUUAUUAAAAUUCAGAAAAUAGAAACAUCAUUUUUUGGCCAAAUAAUUGUCAUUCGGGCUUUAGUCUAUGUUCUUUGGGUUGUUUGAGGGUAGAUGAUAUAGGAAGUUUUAGUUUUUGAACUUUAUUUAGUACCUGGAGGAUACUGUGAGGCUGCUAGAUAUAUGGUAGACAAAUGUUAGUCUUUGUUUUAUAACAUCUGCAUAGGAUUUGCUAAUAGGCAUACAUUUUUGAAGAUCAAACCGAUAUAGACAAAGGUGAAAACACUUUACGUUGGUAAAUUGAAUUCCUAUACUGAGUCCAUUUGGGAUGUAUUUGGUUGAUGGGGAUUAUAUUUUUACUUUGAUUCAUGUAUCGAAGAUAAAUGUCAUUUUAUAAAACAUUUUUGAAUAUGUAACUUCUGUCAAUUUUGAAAAUAUGUUUUUAUUGAAAUGUUAAAGGUAGAAUUACUGUUUGAACAUAGGUGCAGUAGAAUGAGCAUAUUCAUGAGUUUGGCUUGAUUUUAAGGGUUUUUGUUUAUUUUUGUGUUUUGAGUUUUUUAAUUAGAUCUUUUUUGUUAGUAUAUGUCAUUGCCAUUCAUAUUUUUAAAUAUGUAACUUGUAUGAUUUUUCUUAUCUAAUUUUUUGAUUGAUAAAUGUUGGGACAGAGCAGGGAAGCAUUUGACUGCUGUAUAUAUGAUAGACAAGCUUCUUGUAUAACAUCUUAACUUCCUAGGCAUGUAGAAACAUCCUCUUCAUAUGCAGGCACAUGCACACACACAUGAACACACACACACACUCUAAAUAUAUUCAUGUUGAACUAUAGUUAUCUUUAAAACACCUUUUCUUUCUAGAAAUGUAGACAUUGCUGAUAGAAUAUACUUUUAAAUAUCAGGAACUUUUUUAUCAGUAUAGUAAUUAGCGUUUUUUGCAUGUUCAGUGGUUUGUGGUGACGGAUAUGGACAAGGGUGUUGGAUGUUUUCUGAUCUCAUGUCUGUAGUAUAUGAUGCUUUAGCUUUAUUCUUUUUGGUUUAUAGAGAUUGUGGACAUCCGUAUGUUUCAGUCAUGCGGUUUUAAACUGUAAGGUUGAAACGCUUAACUUUUGCAAAUGUUUUUAGAAACUAUAUGGCUUGGUCUUUUUUUUUUUAAAUAACUGAGUUUAUAAUAGUUGCUUUAUAACGUUUUGAGUGUGAAUGUAUAGAACUGUUGAUAAACGGAAUGAUAGAGGUUAGAACCAGUUUCUUUUGAUAUUUUUAGUUCACCCAUAUGGAGUCUUCAUUGGACUGCUGGGAUCCUUAAAGACAAAUUACCAUAAUUGAGUUAAAACUCUCUGAGCUAUAUUCUUGUUCCUUAUGUAUAUAUUAUCAUGUUAGGGAGAAGAUCGUGACAUUUAAAAGUUCUUUUACAUCAUAUUUUCAUUUAAAAGAAAAAUUAGAUUAUAAACAUUAAAUUGUUUCCAUUUUAUAUAAAAAUAUCUGUCAGUUUCAGGAACAUGUAGGUAUAUCUUAUUUUCCAGGUGUACUGAAGUUAAUUAUGCAAUUCAGUUUUCUAAAGAACAUUUUAUAAAAUCUCUGAGUUAUGUACUUCUUUGUUUAUCUGUUACAUGGCAAUAACCAAGAUAAUUUUGUAAAUAAUGGCAAGUAAGAUAGUUAAUUUUAAAUAUCUAGUAUUUCUACAUGUAUUGAGAGUCUCACAAAGUAUAAUUUUGUAAAUAUUCAUUGUAAAUGUGUUCUCUUGUCUUCUAAAAUUAACGUGGCAAUGAAACUGAUUGUUGAUAAACAGACUCUUGGGGUUAUACAAAAUUAAUCGUAUAUUAAUUUGGUCGUUAGAAGGAAUUGACAGGAUUUUGCGUUUACCUCAUUCUCAUAUAGAAGAAUAGUUUCUAUUGUAUCAAAUAUGAAUUGUAUAUUAAAAAAACUUAGACAAUGUAAAUUUAUGUGGUAUUUCUGGAUGUAGUGAACUUCCUCACUUAUUUCUUUAAUGUUGCUUAAUUUUUUUAGAACAGUUUUAGGUUCACAGCAAAAUUGAAGGGAAGGUACAGAGAUUUCCCUUAGACCUUUUACCGCAACACAUCUGUAAUCAUCCCCUUUAUCAGCAUUCUCCAACAGAGUAGUACAUUUGUUACAAUUGGUGAACCUACAUUGAUACAUUGCAAUCACUCAAAACUCAUAGUUUAUGUUACGGUUUACUGUUGGUGUUGUACAUUCUAUGGGUUUGGACAAAUCUGUGAUAACUUGGAUCCAUCACUGCCCCGAAAGUCCUCCGUGCUCUGCCUAUUCAUACCUCCCCAUAUAUUUUUUUCUUUUGUUUUUAACAUUCAGCAUAUAAAUGACUUUAUCAAGGAGAUUUUCUACUACCUCUUGGAACUAUACACAGUUCUGUAUGUGUUCCCUUGGUUGCAUGACAAUAUUCAAGACAACUUUGUAAAUAAUAGGAUGUAAAUUUUUAAUUUUUAACAUCUAGUUUUUCUAGAUGUGUAGAGUCUCACAAAGUAUAAUUUUGUAAAUAAUUCAUU
Molecule: long non-coding RNA, 6075 nt
Organism: Equus caballus (horse)
Lineage: Eukaryota; Metazoa; Chordata; Mammalia; Perissodactyla; Equidae
Source: Ensembl